GCAAACAGGAUUAGAUACCCUGGUAGUCCACGCCGUAAACGAUGUCGACUUGGAGGUUGUUCCCUUGAGGAGUGGCUUCCGGAGCUAACGCGUUAAGUCGACCGCCUGGGGAGUACGGCCGCAAGGUUAAAACUCAAAUGAAUUGACGGGGGCCCGCACAAGCGGUGGAGCAUGUGGUUUAAUUCGAUGCAACGCGAAGAACCUUACCUACUCUUGACAUCCAGAGAACUUAGCAGAGAUGCUUUGGUGCCUUCGGGAACUCUGAGACAGGUGCUGCAUGGCUGUCGUCAGCUCGUGUUGUGAAAUGUUGGGUUAAGUCCCGCAACGAGCGCAACCCUUAUCCUUUGUUGCCAGCGGUUAGGCCGGGAACUCAAAGGAGACUGCCAGUGAUAAACUGGAGGAAGGUGGGGAUGACGUCAAGUCAUCAUGGCCCUUACGAGUAGGGCUACACACGUGCUACAAUGGCGCAUACAAAGAGAAGCGACCUCGCGAGAGCAAGCGGACCUCAUAAAGUGCGUCGUAGUCCGGAUUGGAGUCUGCAACUCGACUCCAUGAAGUCGGAAUCGCUAGUAAUCGUAGAUCAGAAUGCUACGGUGAAUACGUUCCCGGGCCUUGUACACACCGCCCGUCACACCAUGGGAGUGGGUUGCAAAAGAAGUAGGUAGCUUAACCUUCGGGAGGGCGCUUACCACUUUGUGAUUCAUGACUGGGG
Molecule: ribosomal RNA, 712 nt
Filed under: uncultured Serratia sp.
Lineage: Bacteria; Pseudomonadati; Pseudomonadota; Gammaproteobacteria; Enterobacterales; Yersiniaceae
Description: bacterial SSU rRNA
Rfam family: Bacterial small subunit ribosomal RNA
Source: RNAcentral